This 3570-nucleotide long non-coding RNA is filed under the name Lactuca sativa (garden lettuce). RNAcentral describes it as "long non-coding RNA (LSAT_LNC004441)". The record is from RNAcentral. Lineage: Eukaryota; Viridiplantae; Streptophyta; Magnoliopsida; Asterales; Asteraceae.
GUACUGUGGUAAGUACUACUGUACCGGUACUAUUUACAAUAGCAGUAGUGCUAUUGUAAAUACUAUCUAUCUGGUACAAUAUUACAAGUACUGUGGUAAGUACUAUUGUACCGGUACUAUUUACAAUAGUAACGGUAUUAUCUAUCUACUAUCUAUCUGAUAUUCUGGUACAAUAUCAGGAAUACCGGUACUAUUGUAAAUAGUAUCUAUACCAGAGUAUUGAUGAAUGCCAAACACAGUACAGCUUUAUGAUGGGCCUAAAAGUUGUAAUAAAUUGUGGUAAAAUGCAAUACCUACAACUUGGACAAGUCUGUACAUAUCAUACUUCUGAUCACAACCAGAUAUUCUUAUUCUCACAAUUGAUCCAAUCACUUUUACACGAAACUCUUCACUAUUGUCAAUAAGAUUCUCCAUCAAUUUCCGGCGAAGGUAUAUUAAGUUCAUAUUAUGGACAUCAAUGGCAGCAUAGUCAUCCAAUUUAUUUUGUGGGACCCGGUCUUCACUCUUCUUGUGAUUUCUCCUUUUCUUAUCUUUACCCAAUGUCACCAUAUUUUCAAGAUUCCAAUCAGGGUCAACUUGUUUUCCAAUAUUCUUGAUUGUGUUCUUUGGGAGAUCUUCAUUUAUGAAAAAAUGAAACUCCAAAAGCUUUAACAUUUCAAAAUGACCAACACGUGGUUUCCCGAAAAGAAUCUUUAGCCUUGAAUCGCAUAGUAUUUGACUUUUCUUUCGUGGGUCCCGCAGAUUAUUUCUUUUUAUGUACUCUAACAUGAGUUCUUGAACAUCAAACUGAGAUAACAAUGAUGUAUCACCAUUCUUCAUAUGUGCAACAAAAUCUAAAAGCUCUUUAGUUGCCCAUUCUUUGCUUUCGUUAGCACCCGGUUUUUUCGUAAUUACAGUUUCCUUUUGGAUGUGUUCAUCUGUCUUUUGUCUUUUAGAUUCACUUGUCUCGAGAUUUUGAGGGGAAAUCUCAGGUGUAAGGCUUUUAAGAUCAUUGUCCCCAUUGUGUACACAUGUUGAUUGGCUAACUAAAGGGGUUGUUGUAUUAGCUCGUUUCCAUGGAUUUGUAGCUUGAGUAAGCUCAUCAAGAGUCAAAGAUAAUUUCCCUUUUAAAUAUAUCCAAUACACCUUAAAAAGAUACUCCCAACUAGUUUUGUCAUCAAAAUCCACCUGAGCCUGAAAAAAAAAAUUGUAAUUCUUGAAUUUAACCCAUUUUAGCAAGUAUUAUGGAGAUAUGAUGCUGCAUAGUGCAUACCUUCUCAUCCUUUUCUUGUCCAUUGUUUUCAAUCAGCAUGAUUGUUUUCAUGCACGUUGUGCAAAAGCCUUUAUCACCUCUUACACAUACAUAAUCAGCUCUUUUAAUGNAUUUAGUACUUCAAGCAAAAUAUCUACAGAUUUAUUGCCAAUCUUAUAUGGUGCAUCUGCCUUACUUGUACCUGAAAACAUCAACCAUAACUUUUAGGCGCUACAUCUGACAUAAGCCUAUGCUUGUGCUUGUUACACCAGACUCGACAAGCUUUCUAAGGUUAUUUUCAAUGAUGAAAAUGACAGGGGCAUUUACGUCUUUUGUACAAACAAUUAAUUAAAUGUCAGUCUACGUCCCACCUUUUCAGGUAGAACAUAAAAACUUGAACAAUAUAGUACCAAUACUACGCCAUGCCGUAUAGUAACGGUGUACACUACUAGUGCUAUUGUACCAAAUACUAGUAUUAUUGUAUUUACAAUAAUACCGGUACUAUCUAUCUAUCUGGUAUAACAGCACUAGUGUUAUUGUAGCAAAUACUAGUACUGUGGUAAGUACUAUUGUACCGGUACUAUUUACAAUAGCAGUAGUGCUAUUGUAAAUACUAUCUAUCUAUCUAUCUGGUACAAUAGCAAUAGCACUAGUGCUAUUGUACCCGGUACAAGUACUGUGGUAAGUACUACUGUACCGGUACUAUUUACAAUAGCAGUAGUGCUAUUGUAAAUACUAUCUAUCUGGUACAAUAUUACAAGUACUGUGGUAAGUACUAUUGUACCGGUACUAUUUACAAUAGUAACGGUAUUAUCUAUCUACUAUCUAUCUGAUAUUCUGGUACAAUAUCAGGAAUACCGGUACUAUUGUAAAUAGUAUCUAUACCAGAGUAUUGAUGAAUGCCAAACACAGUACAGCUUUAUGAUGGGCCUAAAAGUUGUAAUAAAUUGUGGUAAAAUGCAAUACCUACAACUUGGACAAGUCUGUACAUAUCAUACUUCUGAUCACAACCAGAUAUUCUUAUUCUCACAAUUGAUCCAAUCACUUUUACACGAAACUCUUCACUAUUGUCAAUAAGAUUCUCCAUCAAUUUCCGGCGAAGGUAUAUUAAGUUCAUAUUAUGGACAUCAAUGGCAGCAUAGUCAUCCAAUUUAUUUUGUGGGACCCGGUCUUCACUCUUCUUGUGAUUUCUCCUUUUCUUAUCUUUACCCAAUGUCACCAUAUUUUCAAGAUUCCAAUCAGGGUCAACUUGUUUUCCAAUAUUCUUGAUUGUGUUCUUUGGGAGAUCUUCAUUUAUGAAAAAAUGAAACUCCAAAAGCUUUAACAUUUCAAAAUGACCAACACGUGGUUUCCCGAAAAGAAUCUUUAGCCUUGAAUCGCAUAGUAUUUGACUUUUCUUUCGUGGGUCCCGCAGAUUAUUUCUUUUUAUGUACUCUAACAUGAGUUCUUGAACAUCAAACUGAGAUAACAAUGAUGUAUCACCAUUCUUCAUAUGUGCAACAAAAUCUAAAAGCUCUUUAGUUGCCCAUUCUUUGCUUUCGUUAGCACCCGGUUUUUUCGUAAUUACAGUUUCCUUUUGGAUGUGUUCAUCUGUCUUUUGUCUUUUAGAUUCACUUGUCUCGAGAUUUUGAGGGGAAAUCUCAGGUGUAAGGCUUUUAAGAUCAUUGUCCCCAUUGUGUACACAUGUUGAUUGGCUAACUAAAGGGGUUGUUGUAUUAGCUCGUUUCCAUGGAUUUGUAGCUUGAGUAAGCUCAUCAAGAGUCAAAGAUAAUUUCCCUUUUAAAUAUAUCCAAUACACCUUAAAAAGAUACUCCCAACUAGUUUUGUCAUCAAAAUCCACCUGAGCCUGAAAAAAAAAAUUGUAAUUCUUGAAUUUAACCCAUUUUAGCAAGUAUUAUGGAGAUAUGAUGCUGCAUAGUGCAUACCUUCUCAUCCUUUUCUUGUCCAUUGUUUUCAAUCAGCAUGAUUGUUUUCAUGCACACUGUGCAAAAGCCUUUAUCACCUCUGACACAUACAUAAUCAGCUCUUUUAAUGCAUCCUUUGCACAAUGAAUAUGUACAAGUAUAGCACAUAUGAUGGGCUGCCUUCUGGCAUAUACUACAUAUAUGCCAACCUGAAAUUCAUUUCAACAUCAUUGCAACUUACUCAACUUCUUUUCACAAUUAUAUAGUUGAAUAGACAAUAUACAGACCAUAGUGAGUGAUUUUAUUCAGUAGAACCCCAUAUGCUAAGUUCUAACACAUCUGUUUUGAAAGAAAAACCCUUGUUUCACAUGACUAAGCAAUCAGAUAAUCAGAAUUCUAUGGGGUUACAGCAAGAUACAUAAAAAUAUAUAUUUU